UUUUACAAUGAAGAGUUUGAUCCUGGCUCAGGAUGAACGCUAGCGGCAGGCCUAAUACAUGCAAGUCGAGGGGUAACAGGAAGUGCUUGCACUUCGCUGACGA
Molecule: ribosomal RNA, 103 nt
Filed under: Flavobacteriaceae bacterium
Lineage: Bacteria; Pseudomonadati; Bacteroidota; Flavobacteriia; Flavobacteriales; Flavobacteriaceae
Description: partial 16S ribosomal RNA
Rfam family: Bacterial small subunit ribosomal RNA
Source: RNAcentral